GGGAUCCAUGACAGGAUCCC
RNAcentral lists this unclassified non-coding RNA (20 nucleotides) under synthetic construct. The record is from RNAcentral.